This 307-nucleotide ribosomal RNA is filed under the name uncultured bacterium. Its description in RNAcentral is "bacterial SSU rRNA". It matches the Rfam family "Bacterial small subunit ribosomal RNA", at positions 28 to 334 of the family's 1533-position model. The record is from RNAcentral.
GACGAACGCUGGCGGCGUGCUUAACACAUGCAAGUCGAGCGGGGACGGAGGCUUCGGCCAAAGUUCUAGCGGCGGACGGGUGAGUAACGCGUGAGCAACCUUUCCUCUACUGGGGAAUAACACCGGGAAACUGGUACUAAUACCGCAUGAGACCACAGUGCUGCAUGGCACAGGGGUCAAAGAUUUAUCGGUAGAGGGUGGGCUCGCGUCCGAUUAGGUAGUUGGUGAGGUAACGGCCCACCAAGCCGACGAUCGGUAGCCGACCUGAGAGGGUGAUCGGCCACAUUGGGACUGAGACACGGCCCAA